GCCCCCAGAUCUCUCUCGAUUUCGGAUCAGGCUUCGUGGUCGGGGUAGGCAUCGACAGGAAUAGGUGCCUGCGCUUCUUCUAUCGAGCUCGAUUUUGGCGGAAAUCAUACAAUUUCCUAGGGAUUUUAGUAACUUUGACAAUGAGAUCCCUGUGACGUGUUAGACUCGGUGCACGGCAGUUAUAAGAUUUGUAAUAUGUUUGCUUCUUAUUUGAAAUUUGGGCAAUUCUGGAACUAGAUAGGAGUUAGGACGCAAUAUUUUAUUGGAAUUGAGUUGCUGUGAACUAGUAUCAGUUGCAAAAUGUGUUACAUAUUGAACGGAGGUCGGGAUCAUGACUCCUGGAGGCAUUAAAACUAGGAGUAUGCAUACUUGUUUCAAUGAUUAGGUGAAGUUGUCAUGAUACAUUACAUUCAUUCUGAGUAUGGAAGUUGCUUCUUCAAAGGCAACCCCUAGCACUAAAUUUUCUAUGUGUCAUUUCAAAUUUCAGCUAUAUUGCCCUGAGUGGAAUGCAACUUAAGCAAUAGUAUAGGAAUCUUCAAACUACUGUUGGUUGGCUCACACAUGUCAUUUUUAAUUUUCAGUAGACAUGCCUUUGAUAAGAUGCAUUGUUCAGUUCUAAUUAAGUAAUUAUGGACCUUUUGAAUUACGGGCCAAGCCCUGUGGUGUGCUAAAUGUUGUUAUCUACCUAAGCACCUGGACUUUUGUAUGCAGAGGGUUAUCAGCUAUUAAACAACAUAUGACAAUCCUGUUCUAACUGGCCAACUAACUUGGCCAUCUGAUGUUUGUAUGUUUGAGUUGUUCGUGUUCGUUGUAGUGCAUGGGGCGGGAUUUAUUGUGAUGGCUCUUUCGAGCCUGUCCUUUUUGUUUAAACUCGAAAAAAAGUAACUAACUAAAUGGUGUUUGUGUAUCAUUUAGGUCUUCUUGGAAGUGUAGCGCCAUGUGUUCUGUAUGGUAGCCAUAGUAUAGGAAUCUUAAAACUACUGUUGGCUGGCUCACACAUGACAUUUUUAAUUUUUAGUAGACAUGCCUUUGAUAAGAUGCAUUGUUCAGUUCUAAUUAAGUAAUUAUGGACCUUUUGAAUUACGGGCCAAGCCCCGUGGUGUGCUAAAUGUUGUUAUCUACCUAAGCACCUGGACUUUUGUAUGCAGAGGGUUAUCAGCUAUUAAACAGCAUAUGACAAUCCUGUUCUGGCCAUCUGAUGUUUGUAUGUUUGAGUUGUUCGUGUUCGUUGUAGUGCAUGAGGCGGGAUUUAUUGUGAUGGCUCUUUCGAGCCUGCCCUUUUUGUUUGAACUCGAAAAAAAAGUAACUAACUAAAUGGUGUUUGUGUAUCAUUUAGGUCUUCUUGGAAGUGUAGCGCCAUGUGUUCUGUAUGGUAGCCAUAGUAUAGGAAUCUUAAAACUACUGUUGGCUGGCUCACACAUGACAUUUUUAAUUUUUAGUAGACAUGCCUUUGAUAAGAUGCAUUGUUCAGUUCUAAUUAAGUAAUUAUGGACCUUUUGAAUUACGGGCCAAGCCCCGUGGUGUGCUAAAUGUUGUUAUCUACCUAAGCAUCUGGACUUUUGUAUGCAGAGGGUUAUCAGCUAUUAAACAACAUAUGACAAUCCUGUUCUAACUGGCCAACUAAUUUGGCCAUCUGAUGUUUGUAUGUUUGAGUUGUUCGUGUUCGUUGUAGUGCAUGGGGCGGGAUUUAUUGUGAUGGCUCUUUUGAGCCUGCCCUUUUUAUUUAAAC
Molecule: long non-coding RNA, 1729 nt
Filed under: Triticum aestivum (bread wheat)
Lineage: Eukaryota; Viridiplantae; Streptophyta; Magnoliopsida; Poales; Poaceae
Description: long non-coding RNA (TAES_LNC025987)
Source: RNAcentral